AGAGUUUGAUCCUGGCUCAGGACGAACGCUGGCGGCGUGCCUAAUACAUGCAAGUCGAACGCUUCUUUUUCCACCGGAGCUUGCUCCACCGGAAAAAGAGGAGUGGCGAACGGGUGAGUAACACGUGGGUAACCUGCCCAUCAGAAGGGGAUAACACUUGGAAACAGGUGCUAAUACCGUAUAACAAUCAAAACCGCAUGGUUUUGAUUUGAAAGGCGCUUUCGGGUGUCGCUGAUGGAUGGACCCGCGGUGCAUUAGCUAGUUGGUGAGGUAACGGCUCACCAAGGCCACGAUGCAUAGCCGACCUGAGAGGGUGAUCGGCCACAUUGGGACUGAGACACGGCCCAAACUCCUACGGGAGGCAGCAGUAGGGAAUCUUCGGCAAUGGACGAAAGUCUGACCGAGCAACGCCGCGUGAGUGAAGAAGGUUUUCGGAUCGUAAAACUCUGUUGUUAGAGAAGAACAAGGAUGAGAGUAACUGUUCAUCCCUUGACGGUAUCUAACCAGAAAGCCACGGCUAACUACGUGCCAGCAGCCGCGGUAAUACGUAGGUGGCAAGCGUUGUCCGGAUUUAUUGGGCGUAAAGCGAGCGCAGGCGGUUUCUUAAGUCUGAUGUGAAAGCCCCCGGCUCAACCGGGGAGGGUCAUUGGAAACUGGGAGACUUGAGUGCAGAAGAGGAGAGUGGAAUUCCAUGUGUAGCGGUGAAAUGCGUAGAUAUAUGGAGGAACACCAGUGGCGAAGGCGGCUCUCUGGUCUGUAACUGACGCUGAGGCUCGAAAGCGUGGGGAGCAAACAGGAUUAGAUACCCUGGUAGUCCACGCCGUAAACGAUGAGUGCUAAGUGUUGGAGGGUUUCCGCCCUUCAGUGCUGCAGCUAACGCAUUAAGCACUCCGCCUGGGGAGUACGACCGCAAGGUUGAAACUCAAAGGAAUUGACGGGGGCCCGCACAAGCGGUGGAGCAUGUGGUUUAAUUCGAAGCAACGCGAAGAACCUUACCAGGUCUUGACAUCCUUUGACCACUCUAGAGAUAGAGCUUCCCCUUCGGGGGCAAAGUGACAGGUGGUGCAUGGUUGUCGUCAGCUCGUGUCGUGAGAUGUUGGGUUAAGUCCCGCAACGAGCGCAACCCUUAUUGUUAGUUGCCAUCAUUCAGUUGGGCACUCUAGCAAGACUGCCGGUGACAAACCGGAGGAAGGUGGGGAUGACGUCAAAUCAUCAUGCCCCUUAUGACCUGGGCUACACACGUGCUACAAUGGGAAGUACAACGAGU
Molecule: ribosomal RNA, 1267 nt
Filed under: Enterococcus faecium
Lineage: Bacteria; Bacillati; Bacillota; Bacilli; Lactobacillales; Enterococcaceae
Also listed under: 4 other names
Description: bacterial SSU rRNA
Rfam family: Bacterial small subunit ribosomal RNA
Source: RNAcentral